This is an RNA transcript of Triticum aestivum (bread wheat), 6500 nucleotides long. It is a transcript of the gene named homeobox protein cut-like 1, with no coding region annotated. The record is from RefSeq and is a predicted model, not a curated record. The transcript has 10 exons. NCBI's taxonomy places the organism in Eukaryota, Viridiplantae, Streptophyta, Magnoliopsida, Poales, Poaceae.
GAAAGAAAGGGGAAAACUUCCCAGAUACUACGUCGCCUCCUCAGCUCCCUUUCCUACUCCUGCACGCAAGCGGUCCCCUUUCUCCCACGCCACCGCUCGCGCUCGGCCGCUGCCGCCGCCUCUCCCAUCCCAGAUCCUUCUGCUCCGGGCGCCCCAGGCGACGAAGGAGGGAGCGUCCGGACGUGGUAGCCGCAGGAGGAAGGGAUGGGGGAGAGAUACAAGUAGGAUAACGAAACCGUGGGUCGCGAAGGUGGAUGGGUGGUAGAGAUGGCCUCUCCCUCAUCUCCAUCUCUAUCGUUUAUUCCUCUGAUCUCUUCAACUAGCCCCAGUGGUCAUCCAGAUCCGGAAUGUAUAUUAGAUCUCCGAGGUUGAACUUGCAAAAGAUGCCGCUGAAUGAGUGGCACUUGUUUGAACACUGGCCAGAACCCAGCAUGGUCAAGAAAAGCUUCUUUGGCCCGGUGUGUCUUCGGUUGUAUCCUUGAAAUAUUUGGGUUCAGUGACCGAAGUCUGACCAGUGCAUCUUUAUCUUCAUCCGUUUUCAUCGAUAUUCUACUCAAGCGAUUCUGGAGGUUAAGCACUAAAUUGUGCGCCGAAGACACUCACAUAUAUGGUGUGGAGAGGCGGUACAUUAUUUUGGCAAUGAUGCAAAGGUGGUACAUGAAGGCAUGGGUAACAAUAUAUGAUAGCUCAUGUUGAAUGGAUGAUAAAAACAAGGCGCGAGCGACCCCGGACCGGAGGCUGUACCAAUCAUGUUUAUAGCGCUACAACCUGGAAUCGCGUCCACUAUUUAUUAUCUUGGUAAUUCACUGCAUAUGAAGAAAGGACAACCAUUCAUGGUUAUGUAUGCCUUCAUCUGUUUCUGCUCUUGCAUUAAAAAAUCUUAUGUCGUUGAACAUUUCGCUUUUUAGUCCAAUCUGAAGUACCAGUACCAGUGGUACAUCAGCUUUUAGAUGUUUAUAUAUUCAUUUUCCGUGUUCUCUGAAGUGUGAACAAUACUUGAUUUAUCGAUUGGAUCAAAAUGGUUCUGAUUCAUUUUCAUCUUAAUUGCUUCUUGCUUCAGUUUCAAAGCAGCCCUAUAAUGCAGAUCAUUUUAGAUGGAUAUAGAACGACAGGUCAAUGAUUACACAUUGAAUAAACGGUAGACCUGGUCUCUCCCUUCUUCCUUAAAUUGCGUCUAGAUUUUCUGAAUUGUUUGUAGUUUUGACUUCCACUUGUGACUUGUCCAUAAAGAAUGCUUAAAUGGUCUAAUGGCCUGAUAUUGCCAAAGGAUCCCCUAGAUGUAACCACCCCAAGGUACUCCUUUGAGACAAUGACCUACAAGUGUUUAUGAGCCAUGCAUUCGUAUUAUGAAUUGGAAGAACAUCAAUCAGCAAGUAUUUAUGGCUGAUGUCUCCUAGAUGAUAUAAUUUUCCCCAAACUGCAUGUGAUCCAUUGCUCUAGGUAGCAACAUCAUGGAACCGUAGUGUUAUUUUUUAUGCCCUACAUUCUACCGCAAAUACAUUUGGAUUUGCAUAUUUUGAGUCCUGCUACUACUAAUUUGACUUAUGAUGUCCAUUGUUUAGGAUGAUUAGUCGCAGCUCAUCUUCUAUCAUGAGUUUCUUAUUUGCAGGUGAUGAUCUUGCUGCAACUUGCUUGCUGCCUUGGUUUACAGUGAGCUAGCUGCUGCAGCCGUUUUGUUUCUUUAGAGGACACAGAUGACAGAAACGCCACCAUGGAAUCAGGCAACCAAUAACCGGAGCACAGCUGUCAACUUAUUUUAUUCAUUGGCCAGACUACGAAGCAUGGAAAGAACAGCCAGAAGAAAAUGUAAGUUGUUCUAUAAAGUACUACAGGGGUGUGCUUUUGUCGUUUGCUUAUUAAGUUCUUCCACUAUGGUUUCACCACAUGAUUGUGUUUCCCUCUUAUUUUUCACUGGAAGGUACUAUAACAAAGAUGACUGUACUUGUAUUUGGUCUUCACUGAGUUAGUACAUGAUAAAUGCGCGCAUUGAGUUCCUUUCAAAAUCAAGAAAAUAAAAGCUUUGGGUUCAGAGAAAAUUCAACACUGCUUUAUUUUGAUUUUUCUGAUUUCUAAUGUUCGAAUCAAGGAUGUUAAGAUUUCCUUGUUUCGUUAUUCAUGGAAAAUAGAGCAACUUUGUGCUUAUUUGUUUGCCUUAUUGGAAACCUUUUAAAAAUAUUAUAUUAAUUGGUUGGUGAGCUGAUCUAUCUAUGAUUGGUACCUCGAUUGAUAGUGUGAAACAGCGGAGAACGUCGUACCUCUCUCGAGGCGACGGUUGCGUGUUAAUAUAGGCAGGGGCAUAUCCCUGAUAAAAGCAUACAAGUUGUUGAGAUUACAUCUUGAGGUACAAGAAAAGUAGAGAUAAGAUAAACAUGAAGAGAUUACAACCAAAUAACUCAACUAACCUAGACCGAGCCUAUCUCAACUAAACCGGUGCAUGUAUGCCCCUUGAGCCUGAAUAUUACACGGUUUAAUACCCUCCCAUAAUCACAACUUGGUCAAGUUGAGAUUAUGCUUAAACUCUUCAAAACCUUUGGUAGGCAAUGCUUUAAUGAAGCCAUCUGCAACUUGAUCUUGAGAUCGAAUAAAUCGAAUAUCCAGCUUCUUUUCUGCAACUCUUUCUCUGAUAAAAUGAAAGUCUAUUUCUAUGUGUUUUGUUCUUGCAUGAAAUAUUGGGUUAGCAGAAAGAUAGGUGGCACCCAGAUUGUCACACCAUAAACAUGGGGCUUGCUUACUGUGUAUCCCGAGCUCUUUCAGUAAUGACUGAACCCAAAUGAUUUCUGCAGUAGCAUUUGCUAGUGCCUUGUAUUCUGCUUCUGUGCUGGAUCUAGACACAGUAGCUUGUUUCUUAGCACACCAGGAAAUUAAAUUUGGACCAAAGAACACUGCAAAACCUCCUGUUGAGCGUCUAUCAUCAAGACAACACUACUGGAAACUGGGAAUUUGCCAUCAGCCAGCUCUUUGCCAUCUGCCAGCUGAUGGCAAAGAACGUCUUUGCCAUAUGCUUAUAAAAAACAGAUGGCAAAGAACUGACAGACGGCAAAGAACAUGGUUGCCAUCAGCCAAUUCUUUGCCAUCUGCUAGUGGAUGGCAAAUAAUCUUUGCCAUCUGCCAGCAGAUGGCAAAUAAUCUUUGCCAUCUGAGGUUGGCAAAUCCUGUGGCCGUCGAGAGUGUAACGACGUACCAGCCCCACCUCUUUGCCAUCUGACAGCAGACGGCAAAGAUUCUUUGCCAUCUGCUGGCAGAUGGCAAAGAGAUGGGGUUAUUUUUUUAAACCAUAAAUUUUCUGAACCAAUCAGGGCUCUUCCCACGGAUCACCCCCUUAGCCGAUCUGAACCGUCCGUUCUAGCCGAUCUGAACCGUCCACCUCUCUGCAGCCCAAUCCAAACCCUAAGCAGCCCGCGCCCGCCUCUCUCUCCUCCUCUCUGCCGCCUCUCCCCGAUCCAGAUCCAACCCAAGCGCCCGUCCUUCGCCGCCGCAGCCACGACGUCACGGCCUGCUCCUCGUGGUGGCCGCGCCGGUGCUCUGCGUCCGUCGUCGGCCGGCGCGCCCACUGCGUCCGCGCUCCUCCGCCCCGACGCCGACUAUCUCAACCCUCUCUCCAACCCUAACCCUCUCCCUCCCUCAGAUCUCAAUACGCCGCCGCCCCUAUCCCUACCCCCGCGUAGCCCAACCCAAUCCGCCGCCGUCCUCUACCCAGACCCCUCCCCGCUUCGGCGAGCCCGCCAUGAACCGUGUGCGGGCGGCAGCGCAGCGGGAGCAGCACGGGCUUCACCUCCCCGGGCCGUGUCUCCCCUCCUCCUCCACCUCCUUCGCGGCCUCCCUCCCGGGCACCGCCCAACAGCAGUCUCGACAGGGACGACCUGGACCCGGACCCGGUCGCGGCUACCACGGAGGACCUCGCAACGGUCGACCUCUCCGAAGACCCGGAUGCCACCGCCACCGCCAAGUCCGGCUCCAGCAAGCCCCGUCAGGCAGCCAGAGGCGGCGGCUGCGACGUGGCCCCGUCGUCAACGUCAACCCACAAACUACAACGUCGCCGUCAACGUCCUCAACAGCCUCGACGAGCCGCUCCUCAUCACCUGGGACGGCAUCCAGCAGUGGAAGAACUGCUGGCAGGACGGCAUGCUGGGCUCCAACUGUGGCGUCGGAUGCUGGCAGGUCACGGGGUUAGAGCAAAGGAACCUGAUGCGGUGUUCUAAACUCAGGUGGUCAUGGUCAUUGACCAGGUGUUGAAGGGCUUGGUGGCAAUUCUCACGGAGUAAGAAUAUGCGUGCAAGCGCUCAUUUCUCAUAUGCCUGCCCACUCCUCCCUUUCAUGAAGCUUUCUUUUAUUUCUCCAAAAUUUCUCUGAAUUUGCAAUGUGUAGCUCUGACAAAGAAAUAAGAGGAAUAAGUUCUGGCAAGGUUUUGGUGAAGAGCAUUAUUUCCCUAGCUUGUGAAAAUUUUGGUCCUCUGACAUUGAUUUCAUGAUUUGUGGUUACUGGUAAAUAUAUGACGUUGGUAAUUGAUCUCUUUGUGAUUGUUUGUGCGUCUGGUAUGCUAUUUCAGUUUAGAUUCUUCACCAUCAUUAAAGUUCCAUGGAUUCAGCCUUAGUUUCUUCAAACCAACCUUGCAAUCUCCAUGUUUCUUUUGAAAAUUGAACCACAUUACCAUUUUUUCUUCUGAAAAUUUUAUACUCAAGAUUACAAAUUUGGCAGGUAACAGUUCAACUCUAACUAUAUGUGUACCAUACCUACUGACUAAUAGCAGAGUCUAAUUCUUCCCAAGCAGUGGCUGUCAAUGUAGACUUGACAUGCGUGGUUUUACUUCGCGAAGCCAUUUUCUGAAUUUUUGGAAGUUGGUUGCACACCAUGAACUUCAGUUUUGUUAUAUUUUGGCAGCUAAUCCCUUCAGCUAUAUGAAUCCCUCAAGAAAAGUCCACGUAGCCAUAGACUCACAACUCAUAAUCAUUCAUAUGCGUUCUACAUAUUAGUUAGCGUUUCCUCUUUUUGUAUUUGGCAGACUGCCAGUAUGUAUGUACAUUUUGUAUGUGUUGACCAUGGAUAGUUAGAUACCAAGGGUGUGUUUGGAUGUGAGGCAAGGGGCAGCUCUAGCUUAGCUAUGCAAGGUUAACAUUGAAAAUCACAUGUUUAUUAAAACUUAAAAGCCUAGGUGGGAGACUGUGAUUUAAAUUUCUUUUCCUAGGUGAUGUGAUGAUGCCAUAUCUAUUUAUUUAACAUAUGGAGCUCCUACACUCAUGCUAUUAGCUAAGAAAAAUUUACCAUAUAUGCUGCUACUUCAAUCAGUUAAAACGUUAUUUUUUCCAUUCAUAUAUCAACACGUUUUGGGGGAGUGAAAACCAUUGAUAGUUUGGCUUUUUUUUACUACAUUGCGGAAGUGUUUCCAUUGGGGCGUUCAGUUUAACAUAUGAACUUGGUUGACCUUUCCAUCUCAUAAGGAAAGCUUGCAUAUAUGCAUUUGCACGGUAGGUUUAGUAUUUAAAAUAUGUGGAUCAAUUCACAGUCCAGGUUAAGAUGUCCAUGCAUAUGAUCAUUUAGUACACAUGCAUGCAAUUAUUAUUUGUUGUUAAUUAUAUUUUGUAGUAUCAUUUAAAUACGCUUCAUCUUAAACCAAUAUGUUAUUUCUUAGUGAACAAACAGAGAAAUAUUUAUGGAUUCAGAAUCUGGGGUGGCCUGCAAUAAGGAAAACAUAUACACUGUUAGUAUUAUUAGUUGUUUCCAUGUAUUUGGUACAGACGCCAUGAAUUUUCCUAACAUUUAUUUCUAACUUUCCCAUAUCAAGAUUAUGUCUGUGCAGUCAACGUUUUCUCCAAUAUUACAAUUGGCCCUAUUGCUAUAUAGGUGAGUGUGUUUUCUCUGCUCUAUCUGAAGAUCCAACUUCUAUAAUGUUGUAUCUAUUCCAUCGUUUACAUCCUGCAUGCCUUUGAACCGUUGCACUAGCAGUUCUCAUUACGUGGUACUGUUGCUUAUAAAAAUUAAUGGUUCACACUGUCAUCUUAAUGUUGUAUCCUCCUUGGGAAAAGCUUUGGUAAAUGUAAUACCGGAAUACUUCUGAUAGAUGAUUGUUGUAUGCUGCUACUUGAGUUUUCAGUGACAUAAAAGGAGCACCAUAUAUAUUCCUCUGAAUGAAGAUAAUAUUCAUUCAUGUUUUAUUGGUUCAAUUUUCAGAUCCUAAACAACUUCUGUGGAAGAACAAGUUCCAUUUGCUGCCGAGGAAUAAAUCACACUUAUCUUAUGGAAUUGCGCAUCAUCAGAAAUGUUGGUCUAAUUCUGAUCUAAUGUGAUAGGGUAUUACUACAAAGCCUGCUUCUAGCUGCAAAACAAAGUUUACUCGAAGGCUGCAUGUCUCCCCUAUCUUUUUCCCACGCUACCAACCCUACUUUUUAAGAUUUUCUUAAGAUCACAUAAGCUUGGGUUGAUGGAGUGCUUGUAUUUAGUUUUUGUUUUGACCUUGUGAAACUUGCUACCUAUGGAUGAAACUGUGUAAUAUUGAUGAAACUAUG